UACGUAGGGUGCGAGCGUUGUCCGGAAUUAUUGGGCGUAAAGGGCUCGUAGGCGGUUUGUCGCGUCGGGAGUGAAAACCAGGUGCUUAACACCUGGCUUGCUUUCGAUACGGGCAGACUAGAGGUAUUCAGGGGAGAACGGAAUUCCUGGUGUAGCGGUGAAAUGCGCAGAUAUCAGGAGGAACACCGGUGGCGAAGGCGGCAUCCUGGACCAAUUCUGACGCUGAGGAGCGAAAGCCAGGGGAGCAAACGGG
Molecule: ribosomal RNA, 253 nt
Filed under: uncultured bacterium
Lineage: Bacteria
Description: partial 16S ribosomal RNA
Rfam family: Bacterial small subunit ribosomal RNA
Source: RNAcentral